AGUCUGGCUUGAGUUGAACCAACUACUUGCUACUAAUAAGAAUUUAUCAGCUAUUCAGCAUCAACAUCAAAAGACAAUGAAAACCUUAGAAAAAUAAUUAAAAGGUAGACGUCAUGAAGGACCAAGAUGAUGGCCAACACAUUUGAAGAAAAUCUGGAUAUAAAAGUUGAACGUAUGUGAAGAAAUAUGGCUGAAGCAAAAUGCAGAACUGUUAAAGCCACUCAGUACUUACCAACCAGCAGACAUUCUGUAUUAGUUUCCUAAUGCUGCUAUAACAAGUUGCUACAGUGAAGGGCUUAAAGCAAUCAAUUCCCUGGUUGUUCUGGGAAUCCGAAGUCUGCAAUGAAUCAUAAGGGAUCUCUUUCAUCUCUAGGUGUUAGGGGGAAAUGCUAGAGAAAGGACACAACGGAUGCUGAAUUCCGGACUUCAUCCUGAGUCAGACGGCAGUGCACAAAUGUCAAAGCAGGUUUUGCAGAUCCGUAAACUCCACACAUUGGAUCAUAAGAAGUCAACCUUGUGGAAACAGACAUUAAAAUAGCAUUUUUCCCUUCCUUUUUUGAAAA
Long non-coding RNA from Mastomys coucha (southern multimammate mouse), 563 nucleotides. RefSeq lists it as uncharacterized. The transcript is spliced from 3 exons. The record is from RefSeq and is a predicted model, not a curated record. Lineage: Eukaryota; Metazoa; Chordata; Mammalia; Rodentia; Muridae.